CGAUGAAGUGGAGGGACGUGGAG
This 23-nucleotide microRNA is filed under the name Brugia pahangi. RNAcentral describes it as "microRNA bpa-mir-5869". The record is from RNAcentral. Lineage: Eukaryota; Metazoa; Nematoda; Chromadorea; Rhabditida; Onchocercidae.